CCCACAUACAAGUGAUAUCAUAUAGUGUUUGUCUUUGACUUACUUCACUCAGUACAAAAAUGGCAUUAUUUAAGUCUUUUUAAUGGCUGUGUAAUAUUCCAUUAUAUAUAUGUACCACAGCUUCUUUAUCCAUUCCUUGGUUGAUGAUCACUUAGUUUGCUUCCAUGUCUUGGCUGUUGUGAAUAGUGCAGCAAUGGAUGGAUGGAACUACUUCCAGUUUCCCCCCACCAAAAAAAAAAACAAAAACAAAAACACACGCACACAAAACCUUACUUCCUAGACUUUUGUUUCUAUCCUACAAUCCUCCCUGAUCACCUUGGCAUUAUGCAAAGUGCCCAUAACCCUUUUGGUUCCAGACUUUGUCCUUCACUGAGAAACACAUCUCAAGGAUCCUUUGUCCUAUAUAUGGUCCUCUUUCUUCUGAAUUUGGGAAGGAGUUGCAGAGAAACACUGGGUAUUUUGGAAAGAACACCUCUGAAUUCCAAUCCCAGCUCCCCCAACCCCAGCUGUGGAGCCUUAAGCAAGUUAUUUAACUUCCCGCAGCUUUAGUUUCCUCAUCUGCCUUUGAGAGCAAUACCGCUUUCCUCGUAAGUUUGCAGUAUGCGUUAAAAAUGACAUCAUGAACAUGAAGCACAUGCAUGACACCUGACAUUCAUUCUCUCACUGAAAAGAUGGUCAUGGAGGGUGUGCUCUGUGCCAGGCACUGCUCAGUCCUAAUAUAUUGGGGUUAAUGAGUGCCCACUAUGUGUGCCUCUACCCUGGGCAUGUGUGGUGGACAUUCAUUAAGCACUUGAUGAAACAAGGCUGAAUUUGUAAAAUGAUAGAAUUCUGGAAAUAGUUAUUGAGUUCCCACUCUAUUUAUGACACUGUAUUAGGGACAGAAAAGAUACGGCAAGUUGGGAAAGAUGUGUUUCUCCUCUCCAGGACCUCACAUUUCACCAUGAUUUUGUUGCUUCAUGGAGAUGUUUUAAAACUUCAGAAAACAUCCUUUCUUUCUUAGUCUUCUGUCUCACCUCUUAAAAUUCCCACCAGUGAUCAAACAUCCAUGCCUUUGCAUAUGCUACUCUCUCUGCCUGGAAUGACCUGGCCCAUCCCAACUUAUUCAAACUCAUGCCCUUCCCUACUUGUCAAACUCCUGCUCAUCUUUCAAAAUUCAGCUCUGAAAUCUCCUUUGGGAAGCCCUGACCUAGUACUGCAGAUGGUCUGCUGCUGUUUUCAUUUUCCCUGGGGCCUUUUACCCAAGUACGUAUCUGUUUCUUUCUCUAGACUGAGAGCUCCUGGAAGUCAAAGACAUUGUCUGAUUCAUCUUGGUAUCCUUCAUGACUACCAUAUUGUCUGGAAUUGAGUAAUAGCUCAAUUAAUGCCAGUUUAGUGAAGAAAUAAAUUCAUGAAUUAAUGAAUGGGUUGUUGGAUGGAUGGAGAGAGAGAGAGAGAGGGAUAUGUGGGGCAAAAAUUCAUACAUGAAUGGAUGGAGGGAGGGUUGGUUGCAUGGAUGGAUGGAUGGAGAAAGUGGGAGAGAAAGACAGAACAUGGCAAACAUUCAUACAAAUGCAUGGAUAGAUGGAUGGAGGAACAGACAAAUGAAACAAGGCACAAGUGAAGACAUACACUUGGUUUAAUGAUGGUAGUGAUGAGUUUUUGUCUGUAAUCCCAAAGGGCUUUAGUGAAACACCAAAGCAGAACCAUUCGGUUCUGAGAGGCUUUGAACCCUGAGGACAAUGCACAACCUAAGGAGUUUCCAGAGUAUGUCGUGAGCUAAUAAAUAUGAGGUCAAAUGACCAGGUCGACGUGCUGUGGACCCCAAGUAUGAAUUGCAUCCCACCCAGUCCAGGGGGAGCCUACCUUCUGCAUGCUGCAUCAGCCCCCCACCUUGCUCCGUCCUCCCUCCCCCUCCAUGGGUGCUGUGAUGGCCAAGUUCUAAUGAAUUACGGUGGCCUUUCAGCAAGCUGGGCCUGGACACCAGGGUCGUCUCUGUAGCCACGGCUGCCGCUGCCCUUGGUUCCUGCCAAGCUCACCGCCCGGACAAACAUACUUAGCAGGUGUUUUCCCCACAUUAAUAAUCAGAAUUGACAUGUUCUAAAUGAGGAUUUCCUUGUCGUGCAGGGCAGCUCUGAUGGAUAUGUGAGGGAAUUGACGGCCCCUGAGAAAUGUUUUUGCCAUUCCCAGCAUUUCUCUGACAGGCUUUUAAUAGUCCCACUAAAACUGCAGCAUUUUGGAAAUUUUUGUAGAUAAAGUGCAAAGGGCUGUUCUGACUCGGAGGCUCUGGAGUGGAAAAAUACAGUUUCGGGGACGCUGAGUUCCUCAAAUAACAGUGCUCUUAGAGGAAGCUGGUCUGAUGUUGGGUUGGCCUGAAUGCUGCAGAGGGAGCAAUGGCCCAGGGCCCUUGAGGAGUCUGGAGUUACAAGUGCACAGCGAGGCCUGGGAACUGUAGAUGAAGCACAUGUGAAGCCCUGAAUACAGCCUGGAUUGACAUCCUAGAUUAGAAAGGGUCAGAUUGAGUGGGUUUUUUCCCUCCUUUAUCUAUCAUCUACUCAAGAAGUAUUUAUUCACUUCUGACUCAUGAGUCACAAAUAUAAAUUAGACUCCACACACUGGAAAUUCUAUUAGUUAGUGUAUAUAUAGCCUUGGGCUAUAUAUGAAGAUUUAAGGUCCAAGCCUCAAUUUUCUCAUCUGCAAUAGGGAGCUAAUAAUGCCUCUUCUUUAGAAUUAUAUUUGAGGGUCAGGGAUCACAUAAGUUGGAUUCUGGGAGGGCCAGGGUCCCUGGCAGGAACAGAUGUCAUGUACUAAUGGGAGCCUCAAGGAGAGUUUAGUAGGGGGUUGCUUCUGAGAGGGGGGCGGGGUUACAGGAAACAUGAGAGAAGGGGCAGCGCCCUGGUGCUAGCAACAGUGGGGAGCCCCUCGGCCUCAAGGGUGGGAGAAGGGGACUUCCCUGAAGCCAGACGUUGCCUGACUUGGCUGUGACCUUCAGGAGAGGGCUGAGCCAGCCAGCUGGCAUUCCAGCAGAGAGGAGUCAGGAGAACCUUCUCUGAUCUCUCCUUCCUCCUACCUUCGGCUGUCCUGGUGAUGUCUCCCUUCGGCCAAACUCCAUGGGGAAGGGAGUAGUUCCAUCACUACAGUCCAUAAAGGUCAACUUUGCAGGGCAUGGAGCCAGGCGGAGUGUGGCCCCGGGGCAACAAAUGAGGGCUAUUCAUCUGGCACAUACACCAGCACAGCUGGACUCUCAGUGAGUCAGUAAAUGGUCACGACUGUGGGUAUAAGGUACCAACAUCCCCAUGGGGAUAAGGGGACGACCAGUAUUCUUAUUUCCACUUGACACGGAGGCUUAGGAAGAUAGGAUGGUCCCUCCAUCUCUGCUGGAAGCCCUGCCUCCCCCCUGAUCUCACAGGCUCUCAUUUUUCCUCACUUCUUUGGCUACCAGAGGGAGGCCAACAGGUGGCAAGCUUGUUCUGAUUUCCAGGGGUUAAAAUCAGGCCCUGAGAGUGAAACCAGCUGUCUAGAUUCCAUUAGGAAAUCAGGUCCUUGCCAGGGACUGGAGUCAGUGGGAGAGAUGGGAUCUGAAAGCUAAACAAAGCCAGUGAUGCCCUGGGAUAAGCUUCCCUAAUUAGCGGAGGUGGCUGCUGGAUCAUUGACGCACUCCGCCUGGCUCAGCCCUCUGGGAGCUGAUACACCGGGGGGCGGCGGGGGUGGGGGUGGGGCUUCUUACUCCUCAGCCCGCUGAUCCUCCCAAAGGCUCUUUCUAAGCCUCUUAGAGCCAGUUUCCCAAGCAGUCAGCCUUUCUAACUGGAGGGGCAGAACUCUCAGGAAAAGAUGGAAUGGGCUGAUAGACCAACAGCUUUGCAAGACCUCGGGCAGAAACGAAUGUUGCUCUCAACAGUCCCACCAGCAACCGCUGAGCCUGGCCCAGAGUGAGUGUUAGGCACCCAGCUGUUGUCAUCAGUGGUCUGGGUUCAAAUCCUGACUCCUCUGUUUAUUCACCGGAUGAUGUGGGCAUGAUGACUUAACUGUUCUGAACCUCCUUUCUCUCCCAUGAAACAGAGUGACCGAACCAACCUCCAUCAGUGCCAUGGGCCUUGGGGCAAUGGUGGUUGUUCUCCCCUUUCCCUUUGUUGGGACUGGGGACCUCCACUGCAUGGCCUCCGGUCCUCAGUUUAAGAACUCCAACCAUUUCAGCACUUCUGACAUCUCCUUUAUCAUUUGGCAGCAUCUUGGGGAGACCACAGGGCCAGGACCCUCUGUGAGCUGGCUCCUCCAGGGUCAUCUCUGAAGGCUGCCUGGCUGAGAAAGGUGGAUCUGGGAUUCUGGGCUAAUCUCACUUCCUAUGGCAAUGGGUCAUUACUGAGCACAUUUUCACAACCAGGAAAUCGAUGGGGUGCAAACCAGUUUGCUAAUAGAACUCCUCAGAGUCUUUGUAUAACUUAAUUGCAUAGGUAACCACACAAGCGUAUAAAUGAAGAUGGAACAAAGUCGGGGAGGGGCUUCUGAACACGGAUCAAUCCUGGAAAUCCUGGCUUCUGUGGCGGAGGGGAGCUGGGAAGAAGGUGAGAUGCUAGAUCAGAGCUUCUCGGGCUUGAACAGGAGCAGGAAGCACCUCUUAUUGCUCCGGCUGGCUUAGUAGGUCUGAGGCAGAGCCAGAGGUUUGCAUUUCUAAUAAGCUCCGCAGUGAUGCCAGUGUGGCUGGUCUGGGCCACAUGCUGGAGAACCAGGAACUGGACCAUCAGCAUUUCCAGGAGUCACAUCUGCCUGAGGCAGUGCCACCAAUAGAGAACAUUCCACGUGGUGUCACACAGGGAUUUCCCCAUUCUUUCAGCGUGCUCUUCCUUCCUUGCUGUGGCUCUUGGAUCCCCGUCAGCCUUGCUAGUUUUACACCUGUAUCCUCACAGGAUGUUACAGCUGAGCUGUGUCCACCCCUGAAAAUUCAAAUGUUGAUGUCCUAGCCCUUAAUACCUUGGAAUGUGACCUUAUGUGGAGAUGGUGCCUUUAAAGUGGUAAUUAAUUGGGAAUGCAGUCAUUAAAGUAGACCUUUAUACAGCCAUGCUACUCUCUCUUCUGUAUGAUCAGACCUCAAGAGCAGGAUCUACAUAAAAUAAACCCAGAUUUCCAUCUCCCUUGGGACGGAGACUUCAUCAUAGUUAACGCUGAUUAAUAAGCCCUGAGCCUCACCCCUGGUAGCUCGCCUCG
RNAcentral lists this long non-coding RNA (5178 nucleotides) under Sus scrofa (pig). RNAcentral's name for it is "lncRNA (ENSSSCG00035021483.1)". Lineage: Eukaryota; Metazoa; Chordata; Mammalia; Artiodactyla; Suidae. The record is from RNAcentral.